UGGGUGGUCCGCCGCCCGCGACGCCGCGAGAAGUCCACUGAACCUUAUCAUUUAGAGGAAGGAGAAGUCGUAACAAGGUUUCCGUAGGUGAACCUGCGGAAGGAUCAUUG
This 110-nucleotide ribosomal RNA is filed under the name Oxalis fibrosa. Its description in RNAcentral is "partial 18S ribosomal RNA". It matches the Rfam family "Eukaryotic small subunit ribosomal RNA", at positions 1707 to 1831 of the family's 1831-position model. Lineage: Eukaryota; Viridiplantae; Streptophyta; Magnoliopsida; Oxalidales; Oxalidaceae. The record is from RNAcentral.